UGGGGAAUAUUGCACAAUGGGGGAAACCCUGAUGCAGCGACGCCGCGUGGAGGAAGAAGGUCUUCGGAUUGUAAACUCCUGUUGUUGAGGAAGAUAAUGACGGUACUCAACAAGGAAGUGACGGCUAACUACGUGCCAGCAGCCGCGGUAAAACGUAGGUCACAAGCGUUGUCCGGAAUUACUGGGUGUAAAGGGAGCGCAGGCGGGAAGACAAGUUGGAAGUGAAAUCUAUGGGCUCAACCCAUAAACUGCUUUCAAAACUGUUUUUCUUGAGUAGUGCAGAGGUAGGCGGAAUUCCCGGUGUAGCGGUGGAAUGCGUAGAUAUCGGGAGGAACACCAGUGGCGAAGGCGGCCUACUGGGCACCAACUGACGCUGAGGCUCGAAAGUGUGGGUAGCAAACAGGAUUAGAUACCCUGGUAGUCCACACCGUAAACGAUGAUUACUAGGUGUUGGAGGAUUGACCCCUUCAGUGCCGCAGUUAACACAAUAAGUAAUCCACCUGGGGAGUACGACCGCAAGGUUGAAACUCAAAGGAAUUGACGGGGGCCCGCACAAGCAGUGGAGUAUGUGGUUUAAUUCGACGCAACGCGAAGAACCUUACCAAGUCUUGACAUCCUGCGACGAUGCUGGAAACAGCAUUUUCCUUCGGGACGCAGAGACAGGUGGUGCAUGGUUGUCGUCAGCUCGUGUCGUGAGAUGUUGGGUUAAGUCCCGCAACGAGCGCAACCCUUACUGUCAGUUACUACGCAAGAGGACUCUGGCAGGACUGCCGUUGACAAAACGGAGGAAGGUGGGGAUGACGUCAAAUCAUCAUGCCCUUUAUGACUUGGGCUACACACGUACUACAAUGGCGUUAAACAAAGAGAAGCAAGACCGCGAGGUGGAGCAAAACUCAGAAACAACGUCCCAGUUCGGACUGCAGGCUGCAACUCGCCUGCACGAAGUCGGAAUUGCUAGUAAUCGUGGAUCAGCAUGCCACGGUGAAUACGUUCCC
RNAcentral lists this ribosomal RNA (995 nucleotides) under uncultured bacterium. Its description in RNAcentral is "bacterial SSU rRNA". It matches the Rfam family "Bacterial small subunit ribosomal RNA", at positions 355 to 1375 of the family's 1533-position model. RNAcentral also lists the same sequence under 1 other name. The record is from RNAcentral.